CCUACGGGUGGCAGCAGUUAGGAAUAUUGGUCCAUGGGCGCGAGCCUGAACCAGCCAAGUCGCGUGAGGGAAGACGGUCCUAUGGAUUGUAAACCUCUUUUGUCGGGGAGCAAACGACGCCACGCGUGGCGUUCCGAGCGUACCCGAAGAAAAAGCAUCGGCUAACUCCGUGCCAGCAGCCGCGGUAAUACGGAGGAUGCGAGCGUUAUCCGGAGUUAUUGGGUGUAACGGGUGCGCAGGCGGAAGAUCAAGCCAGCGGUAAAAUUGAGAGGCUCAACCUCUUCGAGCCGUUGAACCUGGGUUUCUUGAGUGAGCGAGAAGUAUGCGGAAUGCGUGGGGUAGCGGUGAAAUGCAUAGAUAUCACGCAGAACUCCGAUUGCGAAGGCAGCAUACCGGCGCUCAACUGACGCUCAUGCACGAAAGUGUGGGUAUCGAACAGGAUUAGAUACCCGUGUAGUC
This 459-nucleotide ribosomal RNA is filed under the name uncultured bacterium. Its description in RNAcentral is "partial 16S ribosomal RNA". It matches the Rfam family "Bacterial small subunit ribosomal RNA", at positions 338 to 795 of the family's 1533-position model. The record is from RNAcentral.